RNAcentral lists this long non-coding RNA (1341 nucleotides) under Homo sapiens (human). RNAcentral describes it as "HSALNT0401884". Lineage: Eukaryota; Metazoa; Chordata; Mammalia; Primates; Hominidae. The record is from RNAcentral.
AAAAAGAAGGAAUGGAUGAGGUAAUCCUCCCAGCGGUAUGUCAGGACACUCCUAAGACACAAAGUCUGCAGAGCGGUACUUUUCCUAGGGUCUCCACCCUCACCCUGAUCAUAGGCGUGCAGCGUGCAGUCCCACCCUGUUUCAGCGACUGCCACUUAACAAUCUGCCCUAAAACUUGGUGCUUAAAUCUACAACCUAUUUUCUAUUACAUGUAUUAUAAAUUAUGUACAACUUACAUAAUUAUAAGUUUUAUAUAAUGAUGACAUCUAUUAUUUCACAAUAUAAUGUAAUUACUUAUUUCCACAUCUGCCUUGUGAGACUGUGAAUCUCACAAUUAAUUUAUAAUAAGUCAUAUAUUACAUAUUAUAUAUAUAAUAAACCUAUCACAAACUAUUGUAUCUCUUGAUUUUGUGGGUCAGGAAUUUGGAAAAUUUUUUCUGCUCCUCACUGGUGUUGCUGGAAGUCGCUCCACAGCUGGCAGAUGAGCUGGCUGGGAAGAUACAAGGUGGCUGCACUCACUAUUGGGGGCCCUAGCUCGGAUGCCUGCCAGGCUGGGCUCAGCUGGGACUGCCUCCUACACGUGGCCUCUCCAGCAUGGUGACGUCACGGAAGCCUCAGACUCCUCACACAGAUGCUGGAUUCCCCGGAGGGAGUGUUUCCAGGGGUCCCCUGCAGAAUCAGCAAGCAACGCUUCUGACACCUGCCUCGGAAGGGCCAGAGCACCUCUGCUGUUGUGGUCCAUUGGCAAGCCAAUCACUAAGGCUGGCCUGUACUCAAAGGAAGAAUUAGAUCCCACCUCUCCAUGGGCCGCGCAGCAGAUAAUUCGGGGUCUUGGUUAAUCUACCAUGUUCUUUCUCUCCACUGCAGGGAAAUCUGAACUAACAAGAUUUUGAAUCACUCACCAAAUGGCGGUCUUCCUUUUAACUGAGUCUUAUCUCAUCCUACUACAAAAAUUUCCCAAGAAAAUGUGAAGAGUCUUGAUACGGAGCUCAGGCAGUCACGUGAGUGAAGGGGAGCGGCUGUAAACACAGAUGAAGCUUGGCUCACUCGCUCGCCAUUCACCUCCUGCUGUCCAGUCCAGUCCUGAACGACAGCCCUUUAAACAGAAGGACUCUGUUGUCUAGUUUUUUUACUGUUGUGUCCACAGCACCUAGAAUGACUCUUGGCACAUGGCAGGUACCCUAUAUAUGUUUACUGAAUAAACAUAUUUUUGUUUUCCUGAGGGCUAUGGUGCUUGGGUACAUAUCAGAAGGACCUGGGAAGCUAGCUAAAAAAAUAUGGGGCCGGGCAGGGUGGCUCAUGCCUGUAAUCUCAGCACUUUGGGCGGCUGAGGUGGGCAGA